Molecule: ribosomal RNA, 213 nt
Filed under: uncultured bacterium
Lineage: Bacteria
Description: partial 16S ribosomal RNA
Rfam family: Bacterial small subunit ribosomal RNA
Source: RNAcentral
CAGUUCGGAUUGUAGUCUGCAACCCGACUACAUGAAGCUGGAAUCGCUAGUAAAUCGCGGAUCAGAAUGCCGCGGUGAAUACGUUCCCGGGUCUUGUACACACCGCCCGUCACACCAUGGGAGUCGGAAAUGCCCGAAGUCUGUGACCCAACCUUAGGGAGGGAGCAGCCGAAGGCAGGUCGGAUGACUGGGGUGAAGUCGUAACAAGGUAGC